UACGUAGGGGGCGAGCGUUGUCCGAAGUUACUGGGCGUAAAGCGCGCGUAGGCGGCUAUUUAAGUCUGGGGUGAAAGGUUCAGCGCUCAACGCGAACAGUGCCUUGGAUACUGGAUGGCUUGAGUUCGGGAGAGGUGAGUGGAGCUGCGAGUGUAGAGGUGAAAUUCGUAGAUAUUCGCAAGAACACCAGUGGCGAAGGCGGCUCACUGGCCCGAUACUGACGCUGAGGCACGAAAGCGUGGGGAGCAAACAGG
This 254-nucleotide ribosomal RNA is filed under the name uncultured bacterium. RNAcentral's name for it is "partial 16S ribosomal RNA". It matches the Rfam family "Bacterial small subunit ribosomal RNA", at positions 524 to 776 of the family's 1533-position model. The record is from RNAcentral.